GCUUAUGGCCAUACCACCCUGUCUGUGCCCGAUCUCGUCUUAUCUCGGAAGCUAAGCAGAGGCGGGCCUGGUUAGUACUUGGAUGGGAGACCCCCUUGGAAUACCAGGUGCUGUAAGCU
RNAcentral lists this ribosomal RNA (119 nucleotides) under Sinocyclocheilus anshuiensis. The record is from RNAcentral. Lineage: Eukaryota; Metazoa; Chordata; Actinopteri; Cypriniformes; Cyprinidae.